GAAUUUCAAACUCUUGUCUGCGACGCGGUGCCCGGAAGUGCUUUGGAGUGAUUACUCUGCGUUUUGCCGCUGACUAUUCAGCUGGUUCGUUGUAAACAAGUCAUUUCACAGCUGCUGUCGAAACUGAUGAGGAUACAGAAUGCUUGGUCUGAAGAUGGUUGGGAAACAGCCCAGUGCCUGACAUGGCUAAAACUGCACUUCACAAAAAUAUUUGAAAUAUUUAUUGGAUGAGUUAUGAGUAGCUUUUGGAUUUGGGUGUGGAAGCUAGAAAAAAAGAAGAAGAAGAAGAAGAACCAAGAGUCUAUUCUUCCAAGCAAGUUAAGGAGAAGUUGAGGAGGACAGAAUGCUGCCUGCCACCUUGAAACCUGACUUUCCAGGUCUAGGACAGUGAAAUGCGUGUAGCCCAGAACGACUCCUCUCAAGCCGUGCGCCGGGACAGAGCUUGGCAGAAUACACGGACAUGCUCUUCAAAGUACCUUCAAGUGUAAUCCUUUUAUUUGUUUUCUAAUUCCUGAGGAUUGAACCAGGGCCUUGCACAUACUAGGCAAGCACUCUACCACAAAACUACAUCUCUAUCACCCCCGCUGUUUUUUUUAAACUCAACUUUAAUUUACUUUAUGUACGCAUCUUUGGGUAAUUUUUUUUGGUUUGUUUGUUUGUUUU
Fukomys damarensis (Damara mole-rat) is the source of this 663-nucleotide long non-coding RNA. RefSeq lists it as uncharacterized. Lineage: Eukaryota; Metazoa; Chordata; Mammalia; Rodentia; Bathyergidae. The record is from RefSeq and is a predicted model, not a curated record. The transcript is spliced from 3 exons.